This is a non-coding RNA of Lactuca sativa (garden lettuce), 4324 nucleotides long. Lineage: Eukaryota; Viridiplantae; Streptophyta; Magnoliopsida; Asterales; Asteraceae. The record is from RefSeq and is a predicted model, not a curated record.
UAGAUUUUUCAUCGGCUGACUAUUGUUUUACUCGAUAGAGUAAACCUUCCACCGCCACAACCGGCUCCUAUCCAUCACCGUCAUCGGCGUCUUCACACGCGUUUUCUUGUGCUCUCCCACCGCUCCCUCCCCACCUUCGAUCUCUCCACCGCUUCUACCACCUGCUCACCCAAUCUGAAAGUCAUCUUCCAUCUUUCACCCCAACUCAUAUACUCUCUCAUACGCUCUUUCAAACCAUUUUAUAUCAUAUAAUUUAGGGCUUAUAUUGACGGGUAAGAUGAUACAUGCAUGACGAGGCCAGGAUCUUGAGGGCUUACCAUGAGUUGCUGGAGAAUGUUAGGCUUAAUGAAGGUAUCGUUGGUGGACUUGAGGAGGAGGAUGAUAACGCGACUGAUGAUUACAUUGACUUUGAAGAUGAACACAUCGACAAAAUCUCGAAACUUUGCCAAAGUGGCGCAAGAACAUUUUGGAUUCACAAUACGGGUCAGGGGUCCAGUUAAGAAAGCAGAAGGUCUAGCUUCCAUGAGUGCUUUUGAAUUGAUUUCUAUGUGUAAAAGGCUCAUCCUCUGGAUUCUUUUUUGACACAAAUCAGGUACGAAAUAGGGUUGACUAGAAGAAAUGGAACUGUGAUAUGGUUGAUGUUGAUACAAGUACAUUGCUAUUAUAGAUGUGACAUAAAUAUCGUUUCCCAUCCAGCUGCACGCGGGGCUCUGUGGCGGAUCCAAUAAGCCGAAAUGGUAGGCAUCGGACAAUCUUCUUAUAGUUGUACCAUAACAUAAUGAUUACCAUGUACAAGUGAAAUCGUAAUAAUCCGAUGGUACAAAAAUUCUUCCGGACCUUUCCAAAGAGGAAAGAAAGUUAGGGAACCAUGCUCGGUUAAGAAAGUAAGGACCACACUAAACCUGUUGGCAAUCAGAAUACCUGUUUUAGGCAUAAGCAUCAAGUGUUUCUUUAGUGCACAAGAUCCAAAGAAAUACAAUGAAGUCCACAGUUCAUGGAUUCCAUCUAUGAAAAGUGUAGCAUAUGCAUCAGAUGCACUCUGUAAUUCGUAUACCAGUUGUUUUCGAACGUACAACCAUUGAUCUUCGCCACACCCGAGACAAACAAACAAAUAUUGCUCGAAAUCCGCAAUGUCCAUCACCCUCAACAUUUUGUAUAUAUGAGACAUAUGGAUGAAACACGAGUGGAAUUUCAUCCAUUAAUGGAUGAAUGUAGCAUGACGGAGGAUCUUGGUUCGAAUCCGAAAUUUCAUUUAAGUCUGGAUUUGCUUCAUUCUAAGUCUGGAGUUGCUUCAUUAAAUUCUAGAAUUGCUUCAUUCAUGUCUGGAAUUGCGGUUACAUAUGAACUAUGUCUUGUUGGUUCCUUGUCCAUCCAUGUUGAAUACAAUCCAUCAUAUUUUGACGUGGUUAUAUAGCUACGUCUUUUGGGAGCUUGAUUUGUAGAAUCAACUCGUUUUUUGCUGUUGUUUUUUCAAGUUUGGUCAUCCACGGGUAUUUUUUGAAUUGUGGGUUCCUUAAUGUGUGUUUUACUUGGUAAGAACAUAUAUCUUAGCUUUCUUAUCAUACAUUUUUUUUCUGCUAAUAGAAGUUUUUUUUAAUCAUUUCUAAAUCAUCCUCGCAACGAAUAUCCUCAUUUGCUGUAGAAAUUGACUCUGAUAAAUCAAGCUUUCUCCGGAGUAUAUUUAUCGAAUCUAAUGGAAUAUACUCACCAGUAUUGAAAUACCAUUAAUAUAUAAAAAUUCAAUAUAUUAAUUAAAUUUAAAAAAUACUUGUUGAAUAUACUCACCCGAGUUCAAGUAAACUCAUAACAUGCAAGCACAUGGUAAGCCACAAUUAUGUUGUAGUUUACAACCAUAGUUUGAUUAGUCAAUUUGAUUUUCACUCAACCGAUAAAAUUCCCCGACUAGUUUAUCGAGAGCUUCAUGUGACACUAAACCCCACAAUAAUCUAAAACAUGACAAGUCGUGUUCCCGCUUACGAACAAUUAUACUCUUUUCAAGACUAUCAUGUAUCGAUGGAAGUUGAGACUUCACAAAUCGAUCUAAGACGACCGAUAAAUUUAUCAAGAGAAGAAUUUGUGCCAUCCAAGUACUUCUUUAGAUUUGAAUGUGCGCUCUCAACUCUAUUUGUAGUUCGUUGUCCAAAGUUAAGAUGUCGAUCGAUCCAGACUGAGACAAACAUUUUCUUAUAUUUGUUUAACCAAACUUCAUCCAGAUAAUUUAAAACAUCUGCAAUCAUAUAAAUGUUAUUUAUCUAUAAAAAUAAUCUAAAAUCAUAAAUAAUUAGUUAGAAAAUAAGAAGAUUUGUAGCUUGAUAUUUUCUCAACAUCGAUUGGAGUUUUUGGUAGUUUUCAGUGUAUGUUAUCCAUCUUGGAGAGUCAACAAGUACAGUCCACAUUAAACGAAAGGAUUUCCACUCAUCGUCUAUCUUGAAUGUACUCCUCCAACGCUUUCUAAUAUUUUCAGUAAUGUACCGUCUACAAAGUAACUGCGUGGCCCUGGGGAAAACUUGUUGACAUGCGUUCAUCAGUGCCAAUUCCCUGUCCGUUUCUAUAAUGUAUGGGUGCAUGCACUUGUCUAGUGUGGACUUUAGACACGUUAAUACCCAAUUAUAGUUCUCCUCCUUUUCAUUAAUGAUAAAGGCAAAAGCUAUGUUAAAUGUCUUGUUGGUUGAAGUUGUGCUAACAAUCUAAACAAAAGGCAUACCAUAUUUGUUGGUCUUGUAUGUUGCAUUUAUAAUCAAAACGUGUGGAAAUGCAUUCCAUAUAUUCAACGACUGUGGAUGAAUGAAGAAAAGAUUUUCCAAUUCAUUUGAAAUACUGUUUACGGAGAACUCCGUAACAAAAUGUUUCUCGUUCAAAAUUUCCAUUAGAACCUACAUUUAAAUAAUGUUAAUUAAUAAAAAUUCAAUAUAUAAAUUAAAUUUAAAAUAAUACUUGUUGGAUAUACUAACUUGCAUUAGGUCUGUCAAAUCGGGCCGUCGUGUCGUGUUUUUGUCUGACACGACACGACACGAUAAGGUUUUUUGUAACACGAACACGACACGACACGAUGUCGUGUUUUUUUUUCACUAACACGAAAAUGAAUCAAUUAAAAAACGACAACACGACACAACACGACAAAGAUAAUAUUACAUAACUAUUAUUUUUUUUAAUUCAUAUUUAAUCAUAUAUAACACGAUAAAAACGACAAACACGACAAAUACAUGCUCAAUCGUGUCAAUUUCGUGUGGAUUUGUAAACACGAACACGACACGACACGACACGACAUCGUGUUUUAUAAAAAUGACACAAACACGACACGAAAACGAAUUCAAAUUUUGAUUUCGUCCCGAUUUCGUUUCGUGUCGUGUAUUUUUGUCGUGUCGUGUCAUAAAUUGACACCCCUAACUUGCAUUGGAGCUUUUCCGUAAUUUUGGGACAAGCGAGGCUUGAGACACUUAUUGUAUCUAGUUUUUAGGGUAGAAACAUUAUUUUCGUCACGCUCCUUUAAUAUCUAGAGUAUGUCAUGCGGUGCAACAUUCUAAUUUGUCAAGUCAGCCACCAAAUGUUUCUCGUGUUCUUUCAACCACCUAGCAAAAGCAUGUCCCUCCAUAUAUUGUGCAGGUGGAUGUUUAUGUUGAUUACAUAUCACCAUCAGGGUCCAACUAUCAUAUUGUUUGAUGUACGGACCUACCAAUUGAAAGUUACAAUUGAUUUUUUUGGUUCCAGAGUUUUUAAUUGUUGCUUUACUUUCGUAUUCACGACCACGAUCACAAAUAAGUGUGAUAUAAGACACCAAGCCAUUUUUUGCCUUUGAUCUUCUGAUUACGAUGACAUAACCAUAAGAGAAUGCAAUGUUUCGCACCCAUUCCAUCAACUCAUCACGAGACGUAAACACCUACUUAAAAAAAAUUAUUAAGAAAUUGUAACGCAAUGAUAAUUUUUUUUAUUAUGAUAAAUAAUAUACCCUCUUUGUAGAAAAUGACAUGUCGACGUAGUGUUCAUCCCUUCAUUUAAAUUAUUUUCAUUGGGGUUCCGCAUUAUUUAUUAAACACGGCAAAAGAAAUUAUAAAAACUUAAAUUAUGUAUAAAAAAAAUAAUUAUAAAAUAAAUAUAUUUUAUAAAAUUUUAGUAUAGAAUACGUGUUUACUCCAACCGAUUUUGUUAAAAAAAAUAUGUUAACCCAUGUCAGCCCAAUGUUCAGACCCAAACCAAUCUCCAUAUAUAUACUAAAAAAACUCUAAUCCUUUCAUUAUCCACUCCAAAAAUCGAUUCUGCCAUCGCCUCCAAAAAUCAAUAUCGCUGGAAAUCUCCACUCGUUUACUAAAGGAGUGGAGAUUUCCGG